GAUGAAGAACGUAGCGAAAUGCGAUACGUAAUGUGAAUUGCAGAAUUCAGUGAAUCAUCGAGUCUUUGAACGCACAUUGCGCCCUCUGGUAUUCCGGAGGGCAUGCCUGUCCGAGCGUCAUUGCUGCCCUCAAGCACGGCUUGUGUGUUGGGCCCCGCCCCCCGAUCCCGGGGGGCGGGCCCGAAAAGCAGCGGCGGCACCGCGUCCGGUCCUCGAGCGUAUGGGGCUUUGUCACCCGCUCUGUAGGCCCGGCCGGCGCCUGCCGAUCAACCAAACUUUUUUCCAGGUUGACCUCGGAUCAGGUAGGGAUACCCGCUGAACUUAAGCAUAUCAAUAAGCGGAGGA
Molecule: unclassified non-coding RNA, 345 nt
Filed under: soil metagenome
Description: partial contains 5.8S ribosomal RNA, internal transcribed spacer 2, and large subunit ribosomal RNA
Rfam family: 5.8S ribosomal RNA (bases 1-120)
Source: RNAcentral